UGAAAACAAACUUUUGAGCGAAUGCCUUAGAAAGAAACUAGACAGGAGAUCGAGGACAUUACCUCCCUUCAUGUAUCUCUUGUAGGAGUUCAACUCAAAGAGGAUGAUGUUGUUUGGAGAAUGUUGGCUUGAUGAAGUAAGGGUCCAUUGAAACAUGACAACAAUUAGUGAGCUCCAAGAUGGCCGUCACCUUCUUGACAUGUGAUGAGAGCACAAAAGUGCGACCUACAUGUCACUAAAAUUAGUGUUAUUGCUAACCGAUAAUGAUAAAUUCACUGGAUUAAUAUUAUAUUUGGGUUUGACACAGAUUAUCAUAAAUUAGAGAUAAAAUGCACAUUGAGUACAAAUUUGACUUCAGAAGGAUCCCUUCCCAGAUCCGACCCGGUUGAAGAUCGGGUCGGGUCCGAGUCGGGUUCAGGUCCAAAUCGGGUCCAUUUUGUUUGUGCUUUUGGGAAAGAAUUUUGGACAAAUCUAAUUUGGCCAUAUCAUAACUAUGAGGUGCUGGGUGACCCAUGACUUGAAAGACUUGCACUUGACCUCCAGUCAGAACAGAUGACCCGUGACAAACUGAGUCCGUCCGUCUACAACCCAAAUUUUAUAUCAUACUAUUUUUUUAUCUAUUUGACUGAUUGGAUGGAACUUGGUGUCUCCCAGCUCCCAUCUCAGGAGGGCAAAGAAAAUCCCACCAUCUUCCCGGAUCCACGGCAUCACCCAUUCCGGCUCCUAACGCGUCUCCACCGCGUCUCCAGUCGUC
Molecule: long non-coding RNA, 754 nt
Filed under: Phoenix dactylifera (date palm)
Lineage: Eukaryota; Viridiplantae; Streptophyta; Magnoliopsida; Arecales; Arecaceae
Description: long non-coding RNA (PDAC_LNC018593)
Source: RNAcentral